GAUGAACGCUGGCGGCGUGCUUAACACAUGCGAGUCGAACGAUGAGGCCCAGCUUGCUGGGUGGAUUAGUGGCGAACGGGUGAGUAACACGUGAGUAACCUGCCCUUGACUUUGGGAUAAGUUCGGGAAACUGGGGCUAAUACCGGAUAGGAGCUCCUGCCGCAUGGUGGGGGGUGGAAAGUUUCGGUGGUUUUGGAUGGACUCGCGGCCUAUCAGCUUGUUGGUGGGGUAGUGGCUUACCAAGGCGUUGACGGGUAGCCGGCCUGAGAGGGUGACCGGCCACAUUGGGACUGAGAUACGGCCCAGACUCCUACGGGAGGCAGCAGUGGGGAAUAUUGCACAAUGGGCGGAAGCCUGAUGCAGCAACGCCGCGUGCGGGAUGACGGCCUUCGGGUUGUAAACCGCUUUCGCCUGUGACGAAGCGUGAGUGACGGUAAUGGGUAAAGAAGCGCCGGCUAACUACGUG
RNAcentral lists this ribosomal RNA (466 nucleotides) under uncultured bacterium. RNAcentral's name for it is "partial 16S ribosomal RNA". It matches the Rfam family "Bacterial small subunit ribosomal RNA", at positions 28 to 507 of the family's 1533-position model. The record is from RNAcentral.